AUUGAACGCUGGCGGCAGGCCUAACACAUGCAAGUCGAGCGGAUGAAGGGAGCUUGCUCCUGGAUUCAGCGGCGGACGGGUGAGUAAUGCCUAGGAAUCUGCCUGGUAGUGGGGGAUAACGUCCGGAAACGGGCGCUAAUACCGCAUACGUCCUGAGGGAAAAAGUGGGGGAUCUUCGGACCUCACGCUAUCAGAUGAGCCUAGGUCGGAUUAGCUAGUUGGUGGGGUAAAGGCCUACCAAGGCGACGAUCCGUAACUGGUCUGAGAGGAUGAUCAGUCACGCUGGAACUGAGACACGGUCCAGACUCCUACGGGAGGCAGCAGUGGGGAAUAUUGGACAAUGGGCGAAAGCCUGAUCCAGCCAUGCCGCGUGUGUGAAGAAGGUCUUCGGAUUGUAAAGCACUUUAAGUUGGGAGGAAGGGCAGUAAGUUAAUACCUUGCUGUUUUGACGUUGCCAACAGAAUAAGCACCGGCUAACUUCGUG
This 484-nucleotide ribosomal RNA is filed under the name uncultured bacterium. RNAcentral describes it as "partial 16S ribosomal RNA". It matches the Rfam family "Bacterial small subunit ribosomal RNA", at positions 30 to 507 of the family's 1533-position model. The record is from RNAcentral.